CUUCUUCUAUCCCGUAUUACAGAUUGCAAAUGUGCUACCCAAUCUCAGAGUGAUGCUGGGCAUGUGGUUCUUCACGUGUCCUGCAAACAAAAAGUAAUUGUCAACUUAAAUGAAAACCGUAACAACAAAUAUAAUCAACUGAUUACCAUACAUGUGCAACUAUAGAAUUAUUUUACGAGCAUAGCGUCAGAAUUUAUGUAAAUUUAUCUUUACAUACAUAUGAAAACCGCGAACUAGUGAAUCAAAUUUCUAGUUCCGUACUAGAAGAUCUUUAUCGCCAAACACGAACCAUUCCGAUAAUAACCAGAUCCUCACCAGUUCAAAAUCAACGAAAUGUGGUACUUUUAAAAAAACCAUUUUAUUUCACUUUUUUCAUUAGAAAUCUCUAUCUAAGGUUACGAAUUUAGUACUGAUUCGGAACUAUAGAAAAAAAGGGGCGCAGAACGAACAAGAUAUUAUAUGUCGAACUUAGAACUGAUUCAGAACUAACGAAACAGGGAUGCAUCGGGGGACUUGUUUACUUUAAAUAGAUAUGUAUUUGGUGGCUUUAUCGUUCAAAUACGCUUCCAUUCUGACCAAUCUAACCAAUAACCAAUAACAGAAAGCCCCUCUGCAAUCUCAGCUACAGCCAAAGAACUGGUUCGGAACUAUCGAAAGGGAUGCAGCGGGGGACAAUUGACACUUCCGAGGACAUCGCCAUGUUAAAUUCGCCGGUUGUUUGCAUGAAAAAGAGGUUUAUCGCCAGUACUGGGUAUAAAUGUACUAGAUGCGCCCAAGUUCAGAACUAGAGAUUUUCCCCACAGGGUAUGUACGCGAUAGUGCGGCGCUCACCAAUGGCAUGAUCUGCGGCAUGUAUGCUUAAUAAGCAAGGUACAAAAGAAGAUACGUGAUGCAGUGAUUUCGAAACAUUUUAUCAUAUUAAAGGUUGUACCAAUGCAAACAUUUGUAAAUAAGUAGCAGAAUGUUCGGUAUUUUUGAAUGACUAGUUCAAUUUUUGAUGAACAUUUUUUUAAUUAAAGAAGCAUUCAAUUAAUUUAAAAUGUUAAGAAAAUUUAAUGCAUAUAAAGCAAUCCUUUCCGAAUAUGUGCUCGCAAGUAAAAGCAUGCGAAUACCGCAGGGUAUCCCGAUAAGCUGUAAAAGGCUCGAAAUCUUCGAACAUCUGAAAACUUUGAUGAAGAUCUCAGAAUUUGUACGAAAUAUUGUUUUAGUUUCGAGUUUUUCAAGUCUUAUUUUUAUUUCAACACAAUGUUAACCUUCUAAACCCAUUUAAGUUGUUUUAUCAAAAUGUCACAGUUUCGACCGGAACUGGGUCAAACGGACCGGAAGUCCGUUCUUUUAACCGGAAUUCCAAUCCAGAAAAGGGUUUCCGAGUACGUAUUUUUGUCCGCAGAAUCCAAAUCUUUUAUAAAAACAUGUAUGUCUCGUUUAAAAAGAUUGACUUCCGACUCGAUAAUUCAUAUUUUUGCGUUUUCCAAUAAAAAAAAAACAUCCAGGAAGUGUUCUUCUCAUUUAGAGGGUGAAAAAGGCACAUCCGGGAAAAAAUUUUUGAACAAAAGUUACUUAUUUUCGCCCCCAAAUUCCGAACAUGUAAUAAAAAUAUAUAUAUCCUAUAUAAAAGGAUAGACUUCCGGUCUUUUUAACCCACUUCCGGUGGAAGUCCCAGUUACCAGCCCUUGGUAAUUGAUAUUUUUGCGUUUUCCAAUAAAAAAAAACCCUGUAUACCCGUAAAAAGAAACACCACUUAGCAGCUUGUUACUUCUUCUACGUUUCUCAUUUAUAAAAUGUAUAAUAUUUGCGUUACACUGUUUUAAAAAUUAAAUUAUAUUUUUCAUUAAAUUUUUAGAAAGCUAUUGCUUGAAGAAAAGUCUUUCGUAUGGAAACGGUCAAUUAUGGUAAUUAUCUUGAAGCCUCUUUUGUGUCUUUAGAAAGACUAAUAAAUAGAAGGUGUUAGCAUUAUUCUGUUUGCCAUUUAGCAAUAAAUUAUCUGAAAAUUAAACGAAAUUUAAAAAAAAUAUUU
RNAcentral lists this long non-coding RNA (2017 nucleotides) under Rhagoletis pomonella (apple maggot). RNAcentral describes it as "uncharacterized LOC118737983, transcript variant X1". Lineage: Eukaryota; Metazoa; Arthropoda; Insecta; Diptera; Tephritidae. The record is from RNAcentral.